RNAcentral lists this transfer RNA (88 nucleotides) under Planctomycetota bacterium. RNAcentral describes it as "Planctomycetes bacterium tRNA-Ser". It matches the Rfam family "tRNA". From Rfam's summary of the family: Transfer RNA (tRNA) molecules are approximately 80 nucleotides in length. Their secondary structure includes four short double-helical elements and three loops (D, anti-codon, and T loops). Further hydrogen bonds mediate the characteristic L-shaped molecular structure. tRNAs have two regions of fundamental functional importance: the anti-codon, which is responsible for specific mRNA codon recognition, and the 3' end, to which the tRNAs corresponding amino acid is attached (by aminoacyl-tRNA synthetases). tRNAs cope with the degeneracy of the genetic code in two manners: having more than one tRNA (with a specific anti-codon) for a particular amino acid; and 'wobble' base-pairing, i.e. permitting non-standard base-pairing at the 3rd anti-codon position. The record is from RNAcentral. Lineage: Bacteria; Pseudomonadati; Planctomycetota.
GGAGAGGUGCCGGAGUGGUCGAACGGGGCGGUUUCGAAAACCGCUGAGGGCUUGCCGCCCUCCCAGGGUUCGAAUCCCUGCCUCUCCG